RNAcentral lists this ribosomal RNA (175 nucleotides) under Cirrhitichthys falco (dwarf hawkfish). RNAcentral describes it as "partial 12S ribosomal RNA". The record is from RNAcentral. Lineage: Eukaryota; Metazoa; Chordata; Actinopteri; Centrarchiformes; Cirrhitidae.
CACCGCGGUUAUACGGGUUAGCCCAAGUUGACAGCCUACGGCGUAAAGCGUGGUUAGGGAUGUAGAAAAACUAAAGCCGAAUUUUCCUUCAACUGUUAUACGCUCGCAGGAACAAGAAGCUCAACUACGAAAGUGACUUUACUACCCCACCCCUGAGCCCACGAAAGUUCUGAUA